AUUGAACGCUGGCGGCAGGCCUAACACAUGCAAGUCGAACGGUAACAGGAAGAAGCUUGCUUCUUUGCUGACGAGUGGCGGACGGGUGAGUAAUGUCUGGGAAACUGCCUGAUGGAGGGGGAUAACUACUGGAAACGGUAGCUAAUACCGCAUAACGUCGCAAGACCAAAGAGGGGGACCUUCGGGCCUCUUGCCAUCGGAUGUGCCCAGAUGGGAUUAGCUAGUAGGUGGGGUAACGGCUCACCUAGGCGACGAUCCCUAGCUGGUCUGAGAGGAUGACCCGCCACCCUGGAAUUGAGACCCGGUCAAGACUCCUCCGGGGGGCAGAAGGGGGGAAUUUGGCAAAAGGGGGGAAAGCCUGAUGCAGCCAUGCCGGGUGUAUGAAGAAGGCCUUCGGGUUGUAAAGUACUUUCAGGGGGGAGGAAGGGAGUAAAGUUAAUACCUUUGCUCAUUGACUUUCCCCGCGGAAGAAGCCCCGGCUAACCCCG
RNAcentral lists this ribosomal RNA (488 nucleotides) under uncultured bacterium. RNAcentral describes it as "partial 16S ribosomal RNA". It matches the Rfam family "Bacterial small subunit ribosomal RNA", at positions 30 to 505 of the family's 1533-position model. The record is from RNAcentral.